This 253-nucleotide ribosomal RNA is filed under the name uncultured bacterium. RNAcentral's name for it is "partial 16S ribosomal RNA". It matches the Rfam family "Bacterial small subunit ribosomal RNA", at positions 524 to 776 of the family's 1533-position model. The record is from RNAcentral.
UACGUAGGGUGCGAGCGUUAAUCGGAAUUACUGGGCGUAAAGCGUGCGCAGGCGGUUCGUUAAGUCAGAUGUGAAGGCCCCGGGCUCAACCUGGGAACUGCAUUUGAAACUGGCGGGCUUGAGUGCGGCAGAGGGGGGUGGAAUUCCGCGUGUAGCAGUGAAAUGCGUAGAGAUGCGGAGGAACACCGAUGGCGAAGGCAGCCCCCUGGGCCGACACUGACGCUCAGGCACGAAAGCGUGGGGAGCAAACAGG